GUAGGUGACCUGCGGAGGGAUCAUUUACACAAAUAUGAAGGCGGGCUGGAACCUCUCGGGGUUACAGCCUUGCUGAAUUAUUCACCCUUGUCUUUUGCGUACUUCUUGUUUCCUUGGUGGGUUCGCCCACCACUAGGACAAACAUAAACCUUUUGUAAUUGCAAUCAGCGUCAGUAACAAAUUAAUAAUUACAACUUUCAACAACGGAUCUCUUGGUUCUGGCAUCGAUGAAGAACGCAGCGAAAUGCGAUAAGUAGUGUGAAUUGCAGAAUUCAGUGAAUCAUCGAAUCUUUGAACGCACAUUGCGCCCUUUGGUAUUCCAAAGGGCAUGCCUGUUCGAGCGUCAUUUGUACCCUCAAGCUUUGCUUGGUGUUGGGCGUCUUGUCUCUAGCUUUGCUGGAGACUCGCCUUAAAGUAAUUGGCAGCCGGCCUACUGGUUUCGGAGCGCAGCACAAGUCGCACUCUCUAUCAGCAAAGGUCUAGCAUCCAUUAAGCCUUUUUUUCAACUUUUGACCUCGGAUCAGGUAGGGAUACCCGCUGAACUUAAGCAUAUCAUA
RNAcentral lists this ribosomal RNA (557 nucleotides) under Alternaria alternata. Its description in RNAcentral is "eukaryotic LSU rRNA". The stretch from base 193 to 346 matches the Rfam family "5.8S ribosomal RNA". The record is from RNAcentral. Lineage: Eukaryota; Fungi; Ascomycota; Dothideomycetes; Pleosporales; Pleosporaceae.